RNAcentral lists this long non-coding RNA (681 nucleotides) under Paramuricea clavata. Lineage: Eukaryota; Metazoa; Cnidaria; Anthozoa; Malacalcyonacea; Plexauridae. The record is from RNAcentral.
UGAUAAAUCACAUUUCCAUUGAUGCUUUUUCGGGCAAAAUCAUGAGAUUCAGGUAAUUUAUAGGCCCAGAGAAAGUUAAUUUACAAAAAUAAGUGUGAAUUUGGAAAAGAAUGAGGUUAAUUUACAAAAAUUUUAGAAAAUUUUUGGAUUCUAGAAAAUUUUUUUGGAUAAAUGGAGAAAAUUGCUGAUGUCCGGAAAAAUUUUUUUACGUCACGGAAAAUUUUGGUAUGUCCGGAAAAAAUUUUUGACCUCUAAAAUGGUACACUGACCGAAAAUUUUUUGGCGACGGGGNNNNNNNNNNNNNNNNNNNNGGGGGGGGGAGGUCGCCCAGAAAAAAAUUAAUGUAAAAAAAAAUUUUUCAGGUAAAUUUCGAACUUUUGAUCUAUAGGGGUGCCCUGUAUUCCUUCCUCGCAUCCAAUAACUUUAUCCGGCGAACACGGCAUACAAAAGGGCUUCACCCCUAACCUAUCUGGCACUCUAGAACACACUGCGCAAAUGGCUACGCGCUGUUGUCAUCACCUUACUUGAUCUGAAGAAUGCUUUCGGCGAAGUCCAUCAUAAUCUCAUCCAAUCAGUACUCGACUACCAUCACAUCCCAGAACACAUAAAAUAUCAAAUGCCGGCUCCAGGGGCGGACAUAUCGAUUUUGACUGGGAGGGUGUAGUCACGAAAUGAGACCGA